UUUCUAAGUAUCAUCAUUGUACAAAAUGCUGUUUCACCUUAACCAACUGGGGCUAUUUGGGAGAAUGAGUUAAGACCACACUCCACAAUGAGCUAUACCACUUCGUAUGGUUCAUUACUAUCUUGUGGCCUACACU
This is a small nucleolar RNA of Peromyscus californicus insignis, 136 nucleotides long. RefSeq annotates it as small nucleolar RNA SNORA4. The transcript has a single exon. The record is from RefSeq and is a predicted model, not a curated record. NCBI's taxonomy places the organism in Eukaryota, Metazoa, Chordata, Mammalia, Rodentia, Cricetidae.